RNAcentral lists this ribosomal RNA (251 nucleotides) under uncultured prokaryote. Its description in RNAcentral is "partial 16S rRNA". It matches the Rfam family "Bacterial small subunit ribosomal RNA", at positions 525 to 775 of the family's 1533-position model. The record is from RNAcentral.
ACGGAGGAUCCGAGCGUUAUCCGGAUUUAUUGGGUUUAAAGGGUGCGCAGGCGGGAUGUUAAGUCGGCGGUGAAAUUUUUCGGCUCAACCGAAAAAGUGCCUUGGAUACUGGCUUUCUUGAGUGUGGAUGAAGAAAGCGGAAUUUGUGGUGUAGCGGUGAAAUGCUUAGAUAUCACGAGGAACUCCGAUGGCGAAGGCAGCUUACUAAACUAUAACUGACGCUCAUGCUCGAAGGCGUGGGUAGCAAACAG